UACAGAGGUCCCAGGCGUUGUUCGGAUUCAUUGGGCGUAAAGGGUGCGUAGGUGGCGCCGUAAGUCAGGUGUGAAAUCUCGGGGCUUAACUCCGAAACUGCAUUUGAUACUGCGGUGCUUGAGGACUGGAGAGGAGACUGGAAUUUACGGUGUAGCAGUGAAAUGCGUAGAGAUCGUAAGGAAGACCAGUGGCGAAGGCGGGUCUCUGGACAGUUCCUGACACCGAGGCACGAAGGCCAGGGGAGCAAACGGG
This 253-nucleotide ribosomal RNA is filed under the name uncultured bacterium. RNAcentral's name for it is "partial 16S ribosomal RNA". It matches the Rfam family "Bacterial small subunit ribosomal RNA", at positions 524 to 776 of the family's 1533-position model. The record is from RNAcentral.